GCUGAGGUGGUGGAAUUGGUAGACACGCUGUCUUGAGGGGGCAGUGCCUUUCGAGGCGUGCGGGUUCAAGUCCCGCUCUCAGCACCA
Molecule: transfer RNA, 87 nt
Filed under: Enterovibrio qingdaonensis
Lineage: Bacteria; Pseudomonadati; Pseudomonadota; Gammaproteobacteria; Vibrionales; Vibrionaceae
Description: tRNA-Leu
Rfam family: tRNA
About the family: Transfer RNA (tRNA) molecules are approximately 80 nucleotides in length. Their secondary structure includes four short double-helical elements and three loops (D, anti-codon, and T loops). Further hydrogen bonds mediate the characteristic L-shaped molecular structure. tRNAs have two regions of fundamental functional importance: the anti-codon, which is responsible for specific mRNA codon recognition, and the 3' end, to which the tRNAs corresponding amino acid is attached (by aminoacyl-tRNA synthetases). tRNAs cope with the degeneracy of the genetic code in two manners: having more than one tRNA (with a specific anti-codon) for a particular amino acid; and 'wobble' base-pairing, i.e. permitting non-standard base-pairing at the 3rd anti-codon position.
Source: RNAcentral